This 492-nucleotide ribosomal RNA is filed under the name uncultured bacterium. Its description in RNAcentral is "partial 16S ribosomal RNA". It matches the Rfam family "Bacterial small subunit ribosomal RNA", at positions 29 to 507 of the family's 1533-position model. The record is from RNAcentral.
AGUGAACGCUGGCGGUAGGCCUAACACAUGCAAGUCGAACGGCAGCACAGUAAGAGCUUGCUCUUACGGGUGGCGAGUGGCGGACGGGUGAGGAAUACAUCGGAAUCUACUUUUUCGUGGGGGAUAACGUAGGGAAACUUACGCUAAUACCGCAUACGACCUACGGGUGAAAGCAGGGGAUCUUCGGACCUUGCGCGAUUGAAUGAGCCGAUGUCGGAUUAGCUAGUUGGCGGGGUAAAGGCCCACCAAGGCGACGAUCCGUAGCUGGUCUGAGAGGAUGAUCAGCCAAACUGGAACUGAGACACGGUCCAGACUCCUACGGGAGGCAGCAGUGGGGAAUAUUGGACAAUGGGCGCAAGCCUGAUCCAGCCAUACCGCGUGGGUGAAGAAGGCCUUCGGGUUGUAAAGCCCUUUUGUCGGGAAAGAAAAGCAGCAGGUUAAUACCCCGCUGUUCUGACGGUACCCAAAGAAUAAGCACCGGCUAACUUCGUG